GAGAAAAAAACAUUUUUGAGAUAAGGAAGGUGGAAGCUAAUUUUAAAAGACAUGUGCUUUUACUUCAUCUAAGCUAGUGAGGCAGAACAUAGUAAUUAUAUACAUAGCUUAUUAAUACUGUGUCCCUAAGAAAUGACGGAUCCAACUUCAAACCCAAGAUUGUUUGUUCAUAUUCUUUUUGCCAUACUCUGUCUUCUCCCAUGGCAGGACAAAGAGGUUCUUUGUCCUUUACUGUCCUUCACUGCAAUUCUUUUCAGUGGCUUUGAAAAAAAGAAAACGUCCCUUUCCCCACUGAUAUGGAAAAAUCUAGUUCUACCCUUAUAGCCUUUAAAAUAGGUAUGGAAUUCUUUACUAGUGGAGGGGAGCUUGCGUCAUUC
Molecule: long non-coding RNA, 377 nt
Filed under: Bos taurus (domestic cattle)
Lineage: Eukaryota; Metazoa; Chordata; Mammalia; Artiodactyla; Bovidae
Description: long non-coding RNA NONBTAT016673
Source: RNAcentral